AUUCAGCUGACCGGUCUCAAAUAGGACGAAACGCGCAUCCUGGAU
Molecule: non-coding RNA, 45 nt
Filed under: Schistosoma haematobium
Lineage: Eukaryota; Metazoa; Platyhelminthes; Trematoda; Strigeidida; Schistosomatidae
Source: RNAcentral